AAGAUGCGCCUCGUCGUCCUCUUCGUCCCCGUGCAAGGAAUCGACCGGGGGCUUGUUAAUUCACCGGCAAAUUCGCCGAUUCUUCUCCAACUCCGGCGACCAAAUUCGACGAUUCCGGCUGCCCUCGUCCUCCUCCGACCAAACCGUGCCCGCCUCCAUCUUCCUGGUACUCGUCGCCGGCGGUACCUUGUCAAGGUCCGGUGCCAAAACUGCUCGCCCCUGGUUCCCCUUGGUCUUCCGCUUCGAGCACGCCGACUCCCGCAUCCAGGUGUGCGCCAGGUUUCCAGAUCGAGGCUCACCUGCAUGGUGGUCAUCGUGUUCCGUCCGUCAUGGUCGCAAGGGACCAAGUCCGUCCAGCCCUACAUCAUGUUGUCACGCACCUGACACUGUUCAUUAAUCCACAGCUAGCUCGACUGAUCCGGAGCCACUGAUGGGCCUAGCCCAGAUCUUCUUCUUUGCUCCGCGUGCCCAGCACCUAUCUGCCGCCGCUCCCGCCAGGUAGCAGGCCAACCCCAGAUCCGGCCCAGGACAUUCCAGGUCCAACAAAUUCGCCCCUGCCUGUCUUAUUUUCUGAAAUAUCAAGAAACUGUUUAUAACUUGCAAAAUUCAUAUCUUUAAAACUAUAACUCGAAAUAAAACAUGUUAUAUAUGAAAAUUGAUCAGAAAAAUGUGAUGAA
Molecule: long non-coding RNA, 677 nt
Organism: Lolium rigidum
Lineage: Eukaryota; Viridiplantae; Streptophyta; Magnoliopsida; Poales; Poaceae
Exons: 3
Source: RefSeq, a predicted model, not a curated record